Molecule: ribosomal RNA, 615 nt
Filed under: Penicillium commune
Lineage: Eukaryota; Fungi; Ascomycota; Eurotiomycetes; Eurotiales; Aspergillaceae
Description: eukaryotic LSU rRNA
Rfam family: Eukaryotic large subunit ribosomal RNA
Source: RNAcentral
GCAUAUCAAUAAGCGGAGGAAAAGAAACCAACGAGGGAUUGCCCCAGUAACGGCGAGUGAAGCGGCAAGAGCUCAAAUUUGAAAGCUGGCUCCUUCGGGGUCCGCAUUGUAAUUUGCAGAGGAUGCUUCGGGAGCGGUCCCCAUCUAAGUGCCCUGGAACGGGACGUCAUAGAGGGUGAGAAUCCCGUAUGGGAUGGGGUGUCCGCGCCCGUGUGAAGCUCCUUCGACGAGUCGAGUUGUUUGGGAAUGCAGCUCUAAAUGGGUGGUAAAUUUCAUCUAAAGCUAAAUAUUGGCCGGAGACCGAUAGCGCACAAGUAGAGUGAUCGAAAGAUGAAAAGCACUUUGAAAAGAGAGUUAAAAAGCACGUGAAAUUGUUGAAAGGGAAGCGCUUGCGACCAGACUCGCUCGCGGGGUUCAGCCGGCAUUCGUGCCGGUGUAUUUCCCCGCGGGCGGGCCAGCGUCGGUUUGGGCGGUCGGUCAAAGGCCCUCGGAAGGUAACGCCCCUAGGGGCGUCUUAUAGCCGAGGGUGCAAUGCGACCUGCCUAGACCGAGGAACGCGCUUCGGCUCGGACGCUGGCAUAAUGGUCGUAAGCGACCCGUCUUGAAACACGGACC